AUGGCUCAGGGAUGAACGCUAGCUACAGGCUUAACACAUGCAAGUCGAGGGGCAGCGCAGUGUAGCAAUACAUGGGCGGCGACCGGCGCACGGGUGCGUAACGCGUAUCCAACCUUCCCCGUUACUCAGGGAUAGCCUUCCGAAAGGGAGAUUAAUACCUGAUGGUGUUUGAAUUCCGCAUGUUAUUCAAACUAAAGAUUUAUCGGUAACGGAUGGGGGAUGCGUGACAUUAGCUAGAUGGCGGGGUAACGGCCCACCAUGGCGACGAUGUCUAGGGGUUCUGAGAGGAAGGUCCCCCACACUGGAACUGAGACACGGUCCAGACUCCUACGGGAGGCAGCAGUGAGGAAUAUUGGUCAAUGGUCUGACGACUGAACCAGCCAUGCCGCGUGAAGGUGACGGCCCUAUGGGUCUUAAACUUCUUUUGUAAGGGAGCAAUAAGUCUCACGUGUGGGAUGAUGAGAGUACCUUACGAAUAAGCAUCGGCUAACUCCGUG
Molecule: ribosomal RNA, 497 nt
Filed under: uncultured bacterium
Lineage: Bacteria
Description: bacterial SSU rRNA
Rfam family: Bacterial small subunit ribosomal RNA
Source: RNAcentral